GAAAGAUCUCUCAAAUAUACUUCGAGGCAUCGUACAUCUCGUAGAGGGCUUGCCAAUGUUAGAGAGGACCUGAAAACUGAACUAGGUGUGGCAGAUGUAGAACGGUACCAAGUAUGGAUAAGAGCACGAGAAAAGAGGAAGGUUCUUGUUACAGAUUUGGACAAACAAAUUGAAGCAAGAAUUAAUGAGCUGAAAGAAAAAGUUAGUAGUGGAGAAAUCAUUGCAAAGGGUCGGAAUGACAUAUUAACGCAAGCUUUAGGGACACCUGAGCACCCAGGGCGUGUUA
This is a long non-coding RNA of Humulus lupulus (European hop), 286 nucleotides long. RefSeq lists it as uncharacterized. Lineage: Eukaryota; Viridiplantae; Streptophyta; Magnoliopsida; Rosales; Cannabaceae. The transcript has 3 exons. The record is from RefSeq and is a predicted model, not a curated record.